This 166-nucleotide ribosomal RNA is filed under the name Campanula alpina. RNAcentral's name for it is "5.8S ribosomal RNA". It matches the Rfam family "5.8S ribosomal RNA". Rfam says of the family: 5.8S ribosomal RNA (5.8S rRNA) is a component of the large subunit of the eukaryotic ribosome. It is transcribed by RNA polymerase I as part of the 45S precursor that also contains 18S and 28S rRNA. Lineage: Eukaryota; Viridiplantae; Streptophyta; Magnoliopsida; Asterales; Campanulaceae. The record is from RNAcentral.
AAACGACUCUCGGCAACGGAUAUCUUGGCUCUCGCAUCGAUGAAGAACGUAGCGAAAUGCGAUACUUGGUGUGAAUUGCAGAAUCCCGUGAACCAUCGAGUCUUUGAACGCAAGUUGCGCCCGAAGCCUUUAUGGCCGAGGGCACGUCUGCAUGGGCGUCACGCAU